This 7062-nucleotide long non-coding RNA is filed under the name Homo sapiens (human). RNAcentral's name for it is "HSALNT0037319". Lineage: Eukaryota; Metazoa; Chordata; Mammalia; Primates; Hominidae. The record is from RNAcentral.
GGGAGCUCUUUGGUUUUUCCUGGGAGUUAAAGUAAAGAUUUACCUCCUCUUAAUUUUUCCAGUGGGUGGUAAACAAACUUCUCUAAGCCUCUUCUGGUAAGGGCUUCCGAGAUAGUUUUUACAUGCAGGAAGAGAGAACAAGUGCAGGCAACGUCCAAGGUCCUCUUGUUUUGCAGAUCACUGCACAACAGACCCUCAGGUAGAACAAGUUUAGAUAGUGACUCUUAACCAAAGUACAAGUUAGCAUCACCUGGAAGACUUUACUAACCAUGGUUGGCUGAGAGUCUGUGGGAGCAGAAGAGGAAACUGAGGCUUUAGAGAACUGUAGCACAUUGGCAAGGACAUCCAGCUCAUAAACAAUCCAUCAGAAAAGUGAGGUCACUGAGCAACCCACCACCCAAAACCUGGACAGACAGAGAAAUACAGAAGCAUGGCUUACAGAGAGCAGAAGCAGCUGCUGGAGCCACCAUCUGGUAGAAACACUUCAGGGAUGAGAAAACAGUGACCUGGAGACAGUUAUUUCACCAACAGAAGCUGGAUCUCUAAUAAAAAGACUAUGGGCUGCUGCAACUCUAGGAAUGGAAGCUUCACAUCUACCAUCUACUGCUUGCUGCAUACCCCACUGCAUCGGUCACUGAGGCGCCCAAUACCUGAGGAAUUGAAAUCAACAUUAUGUUAAGAUGCGGGAGCUCUCAGAGAACAUGCAGCCACUCUUAGGAAGUACAAGAGGACUGGAGGGGGAGUCCUAUAGACUGAAUGCUUCCAUCCCCCCCGCCGGAAUCAUAUGUUGAAAUUCUAAUCCUCAACGUCAUGGUAUUAAGAGGUGGGGCUUUUGGGAGGUGGUGAGGUCCUGAGGGUAGUGCCCUCCUCCAUGAAAUUAGUACCUUUAUGAAAAGAGACAGGAGAAAGCUUGCUUCUUUUGUCUCUUCUCUCCCAAGUAAAGACACACCAGAGGAGAGUCAUCUGCCAACCCGGAAGAGGGCCCUCACCAGAACCUGACCAUGCUGGCACCCUGAUCUCAGGCUGCCCAGGCUACAGAACUGUGAGAAAGAAUUCUGUUGUAUAAACCACCCAGGCUAUGGUAUUGGCAAUAGCAGCAUGAGCAGCAUAAAAUAGGGCAGGUUCAAGGCCUUUACCUAAGAACCUGAUGCUCAAAAGAUACAAAAAGUGUCUAUAUUCCCAUCAACAAUCCAUUCUCCUGAUGAACUUGCCAGUAUCCUGAGGUUUGCAGCCAGGGAAGUCAGCCCAUGUUUGCUAAAUAAAUGAAUGAGAAGUGGAAGUGGAGAUGAUGGAGCAGGUACAUGGCUGAAAACCUGUUUAUGUCAGAGCCCAUUUCCUACCUUUUUACCUACCUAGAAGGCAGCCAGCACUUCUCAGUUCCAUCAUACAGAGAACAUUUUGCUGAGAUGACACCAACUUCCAGUUCUUCACAAAGAUGCAGCCCUCAGCCUUCAGCAUGAGAACAGGGACAUCAGCCUGCUUUGCCCAUGGAACUGUCUCCAGAGCCUACAACAAUGCUCAGCCUAUGAGAGGUGUCUCCUGUAUCCUUGUUAAGUGAAUGAGCAAUUGUGGGAAGGGAUAAUUACUAGCUCCCUUCAGUUAUGCAAAGAACAAGGGAGAUGCCUGCCACCUUUUGCACCCUGAAUCACAGGGUGGUAAGGUGUACAGGCCUGGCACCUGGUAGAAGGCAUGGGAGUGCACAUUAGCUAUGCAGCCCUGGGAAAGGCUGCAUGCCGGUAUACUUUAUGCAAGUGAGCAAACAACAUUGACAACUAUUAAUAAUUUACAAAAUGCUAAAGAAAAUAACCCAGUUUUUUAGUUUGCGAGAGGAAUUACUGCCGGUGGCUAUUAUUAGAUGCAAUUUUUUACCCCAGGAGACGUAUGGUCAUAUCUGGAUUUUUUUUUUUUUUUUUUUAGUUGUCACAUCUGGGAGGAUCAUGGGAGAGCUGCUUCUGAUAUCUGGAGAGCAGAGGCUAGGAGUGCUGCUCAACAUUCCACAACGCACUGGGCAGCCCCCUGUAUAGCAUGACCUGGCCCCAAAUAUCAAUAGAGCCGAAGCUGAGAACCCAAUCCUCCAAAAUACAUACAGUGAAUAUUUUCAAAUUGAUUAAGUAUGUUCAUUCAUUUAUGUGAAACUUUAUAUGUGAUAUGCUAAGACUUCAUCUAAUACAAAAUGUAAAUGAAUCAUAAAAACAUUUUUUAACCUGCCCUCCUUCAACAAAAGGUUUAGAGCAACAUUGCUUAAACUAGAAUGUGUUCAUUUCUCAUUAAAAAAAAUUAUUCCUCUCCUUCAAUGAAGGUGGUAGGUAUUCAUAUUUACAUAAUAUAUAAGUCGGUGAAAUAUCAGAUACAUUAGAAAAUUUAAAAACAAAUAAUUGGAAAAAUAGUUCCUUGUAGACACCUUUAUUAUAUAUGUGUUCAUUUAUUCAUACCAUGCUUUUAAUAGCAAAGUCUUUAUUCAUGUCUGGAGUUUGAUUUUUAAAUCUUCUAGGUCAUUAAAUGAAUGUCUUUAAUAAUCUUAAUAUCAUCAUCAGUAAAUUUAGCAAAGAAAUGCCACAAGAGCCAUCAAUUUGAUCAUAUUUGAGCUCUGGGACAAAUUAUGUUGAAGAACUUUUCAGCUAAAAAAAAAGGGAAGUUUUUAUAAAAGUGGAGAAAGAAUAGGAAGAAAAGUGAAAAGUACUUUGCAGUUUGUAUCGGAUUUUUUUUUUUUUUUUUGAGGUGGAGUCUUGCUCUGUUGACUGGGCUGGAGUGCAGUGGUGCGAUCUCAGCUCACUGCAACCUCUGCCUCCGGGGUUCAAGUGAUUCUCCUGCCUCAGCCUCCCGAGUUGCAGGGACUGCAGGUGCGUACCACCACGCCCAGCUAAUUUUUGUAUUUUCAGUAGAGACGGGGUUUCACCAUGUUGGCCAGGAUGGUCUCAGUCUCUUGACCUCGUGAUCUGCCCUCCUUGGCCUCCCAAAGUGCUGGGAUUACAGAUGUGAGCCACCGCGCCCAGCCUGGGGAUUUGUAUAAUGUGGCAGUAUGAUAAAAUUACUGUCUCUCCACAACCGAAACCUCAGAUGUCUAUGUUCAAACCUAAACUAGUCUUAACAUCUUGAAAGUCUGCAGUCACUUAAUCUUUAUCUCUAAAUCUACUGUUUAUUUUCUCUAUUUACCUUUUCUGCUGUUUUUUUUGAUAAAUUAACAUUUCUUGAAAUAAAAAACACACUGAUAACAGACUCAUGUUCAAUUUACCUUAAUUAUUCACAGAGAAGACUUUCCAUUUCAACAAGCCUCAUUUAUAUGCAACUGGCAAUUUCUCUAAACAGAAGAAAAGGGGAGAUUUUGCCAAUCAAUUGGCUUCACCAUCCCCCAGCCCCAAAGUGUGUUUAAGAACAUUUGCCUGUGCAUGCAUGUGUUUUCCUUUGCAUCCCACAAGAGGAAGGUAGGCAUAUUGCAUACAACUGCAGCUUUCUCACCUGAGAAACAUUCUUGGGUUUAAUGUCGGUAUGAACCAUUAGGAUUUAGCAUAGCAUCAAUGACAUGCUAACAUAUAUUCGCUCAGUAGCCAUGGGAAGAUCACUUUCUCGUAUAAUUUAUGCAAUUAAACUUUCCCAUUUUCCUGGAUGUAUGCAUGGAAACCAUCCACUGAGGCUGCUGUCCAUUGAGUUGGAGCUUUUGCAUGGCAGAACUGGAGAGUCCAAUUGAAAACACAGAAGUGGAGCUGCUCCAGAGAGGGUGCGGCACGAAGACUCUGUGCAGGCUAUUUCAGAGCGAAGCGAGUGGGCUCAAAUGUGCUGAAUGCUCACUUGCUAACACAGACAGCACCAAGAUAAACACCUACAAAAUAACAGCAAGACACAGACCUGUAGGAACUCCGAGCUGGGCCAGCCUCAGGAGAGGUUUCUCCCAAGGACACUGUUCUUACGCAUAGAUGGAGAAUCACCUGGAAAGAACAAGACUGUGAGCCAGACCCCAGCCUGCAGAGUAUUGGUCCCUCAAACUUGCGUUCUGCCCUUUAAACGGCAUCACAAUGGGUUAACAAUUGUGAAGCUUGAAAAUAAUUGUUUUCCCCUAAGAAUGGGCCUGGGCUUACAGCACAUUUGUGAGACAGAACAGGGGGUGGAGAGGCCAGGGAUCUAGAUUCCCCCAUUUAUUGUCUCAUGUUACACUAAAAAAAUUGGGGGUUGUUACCCGGUUCUACAGAUGAGGAAGCAGAGACUGGAGGGUUUGAUAAACCCCUGGAGGUCAUGCAAAUACCCUGUAGUAAAGCUUAGAUUUUAACCAGAUCUUUUUGUGUUCCAGAAGCUGCAUCUCUGAGUCAUGAGACAUGCAGACCAUGGCAGAUGGUCCCGUGACAGCAUUUAUUACCUUAAACGGGAAGUCUCAACCCACCCUCCUCCCCCACAUCCACUCCCCACUUGAAGAUAGAUACAUAUGAUAGGACAAGGCUGUGAUUUAAACUUAGCUCAGGAUGGUGCUGUGCCUGAGCAUAUGGAAAAGCUUUUAAAUUCAGUUUCAGAUUUAUAUCUGCUGACAAGGGGUAAAAUGAAUUCUUGGUCUUUGUUCGAAUGGAAAAAAGUCUCUACAUUAUUAGGCGCCAUAAUAUUUUAUUCAAAUCUUCUUAGAAAUUUUUGGAUAUUGCAUCUGGGGGUAAGUGUGCCUCUUUGAUGUCAUUCAGAAGUGUGUGUAUCUUGGUUACUGUGUACAAAAUGCACUGGUCCAGUUUUUUCAAAGUGCCUUGACGCUAUACAUUAAAUUGCAAUCAAGAGAAUUGAAUAUGGAAAGUAGAGUUUUUUUUUUUUUGCAAUCCUUCCUUCAACUCCUAAAGUCAGCUCUUUAGAGAAAAUUAGCACUGAUAAUAGGACAAGAUGAUAAAGAAUACAUCCGUGUUACAGCUUCUAGUGCCACUCCCCCAAUCUCACAUUAAUGCUACACUGAUUUCAAUGGAACAUUGAGAAGAAAUAUUUCUCUAGUCUGAAAGUAAAGCAGGAAUUACAAACUCAGUAAUUAAGUUAGGAUUAGGUUUGCUGCAAUAUAAUGUACAUAUAUGCAGAUAUAGUUCAUUACCCUUACACAUAAAAGUGAUCUAAAGAGAGGUAGCCCAAAGCUGUUCAUGUCUACUAUGCCUCUCUGCCUUCCUUAGAUGACACUUCACAGUCCAGAAUGGCUGCUUUUGCUCCAGCCAUCAUGUCCAAAUUCUAGCCUGCAGUGAGGAGAAAGCAACAAAAAAAGGACAUGCUCAUUCUUUUUAAAGAGCACUUCAUAGAGAAUGUUCAUUUCACUUUCAGCUAUCUUUUGUGGCUAGAACAUCAAGUAUGUGGUCACACCCCACUACAGGAGGAGCUUGGAAACGUAGGGUUUAUUUGGGCCCCCAAGUGCUAAACUAAAAUCUGGAAUUGAAACAUAAAUGAAGAAGAGAAUAGGUAUUCAAGUAGGCAUACUCUGCAAUUAUUUCUAGGUCAGUGCUAUGCCCGUGGGAUAAACUUUUCAAGUAGAGGUCCAAUACUGACAAGAGUGAGAGGGACUGAGGCACGUCUCCAAAGCAUUCUAUGAUCCUGGUUCUCAUGACUGGGCCCUGAAACUUUGCACCUCAAUUCCCUUGACUGGAUCUCUGAGCUCCUCUCUGUAUAUGGGUUCCACCACCCAUGUCUCUCCUGGGCUGAGGCCUUGCCUUCCCUGAGUGAGUCCUGCUCUGUUACUCUUGCUUGUCCACCUGUCCCCACAAACUCUAGGAACUAGAACCUGGCCCCAGUCUGGUCUCAAAGCCAGGCAUUGGGUGAGUAAAAAGAACAUCAGUUUGGGGCUACACUGGACCUCAGUUCCAAGCCCAUGUCCAUGACUUUUGAGCCACCUGGCUUUGUGCAAAUUAGCCUUUGUAUACUUCUAUUUCCUCUUUUGUGUAAAAGUGGAAUAUUAAUAGUAUUUACCUCAUAUGGGCUGCAAUGAGUGUUAGCCACCAUUGUUAUUGGUGUAUGUUCGUGGACAGAAGGCCUAUGUCUCUGUCUAGUACAAGGAUAUCCUGGAAAAGAACAUGCCUAACCCUUCUUUGAUUUAAUGAGACCUUCCCAUAUCUCUGGUUCUAAUGGGAUGAAGCUCCCUAACUACCUAGUGCUGGUCUACACCACCACUUUGUCACCUCAGCUCCGUUUUGUGAUGGGACAGGGACCCUUCCCUCCUCUGCAGCACAUCUGUUUCUCUCAAAUAGAUUUGUUUCAAGUCUCAACUCAGGCCAUGAUCUCUGAAGUUGGGCCCCCUCAUGACGUGACAGGAUGAACAAUUUGUACAUAACAGGUGCAAUUUAAAUUCCUGUCUCAUGCAUUAAAGGCAGCUUCCAUUUAGGCUUCUGUGGCCACCUUCUAGAGCCAUCAAACUCUGUAUCUUGAAAAAGUUCACCUUGAAAGCCUUUCUGCCAUUGCCAGUGACAGGGGUACCCUCUCACCAUGCCGGCAGGUUCCUAUAGUGUCUGAGGACCUGAGAUUGACAUUUGUCUCAGCACAUCUUUGGAGCAUAAAGCCAGAGAACUGCCAAAGUAAUGUGACAGCCACCAUUUGAUGAUGCAGAUAAUAGCCACGAGAAGCCAGACAGAAGGAUUUCACUCUAGCAGGGUCUCGCUCUGUGGCCCAGGCUGGAGAGUAUGGUGCAAUCAAGGCUCACUGCCCCAUGUUCAAGCCAUCCUCCCACCUCAGCCUCCCAGAUAGCUGGGACUAGAGACACACAUCACCACGCAUGGCUCUGGGUUACUUCAAUAAGUAUUUUUCAAUAAAUAUUUCUUCAAUAAAUAUUUAAUAACACAAAGCUCAUGAAAAUUUAUCUCUAUUAUUUCUUGGAAUAUUGUGGCCAAUUUUAGAUGGUCCAAAAUUGUGAUCUUUUCAUUUUUAUUAUAUGCUGGUUUAGAAUAGAAAUUUUCUAAUUAAAAAUAGCAUCAUCAUUAAAAUAUUCUUCUUCUAAGUCAAGAUUAUCCAAAGUAUAGCAAAUGCCAAAAUCAUUUCAUGUAGACUCUCUGAUCUCCCCUCAUCGGAUGUGUUCUCUGCUUCUGUGGUUCUGUAGGAAUAAAGAGCACUCUCUCCCUGUUAGCAAAUUUU